UACGGAGGGGACUAGCGUUGUUCGGAAUUACUGGGCGUAAAGCGCACGUAGGCGGAUUUGUAAGUCAGGGGUGAAAUCCCGGGGCUCAACCUCGGAACUGCCUUUGAUACUGCAAAUCUCGAGUCCGGAAGAGGUGAGUGGAAUUCCUAGUGUAGAGGUGAAAUGCGUAGAUAUUGGGAGGAACACCAGUGGCGAAGGCGGCUCACUGGACCGGAACUGACGCUGAGGCGCGAAAGCGUGGGGAGCAAACAGG
RNAcentral lists this ribosomal RNA (253 nucleotides) under uncultured bacterium. RNAcentral's name for it is "partial 16S ribosomal RNA". It matches the Rfam family "Bacterial small subunit ribosomal RNA", at positions 524 to 776 of the family's 1533-position model. The record is from RNAcentral.